UACGUAGGGUGCAAGCGUUGUCCGGAAUUAUUGGGCGUAAAGAGCUUGUAGGCGGUUUGUCGCGUCUGCUGUGAAAUUUCGGGGCUCAACCCCGAACUUGCAGUGGGUACGGGUAGACUAGAGUGUGGUAGGGGAGACUGGAAUUCCUGGUGUAGCGGUGAAAUGCGCAGAUAUCAGGAGGAACACCGAUGGCGAAGGCAGGUCUCUGGGCCGAUACUGACGCUGAGGAGCGAAAGCGUGGGGAGCGAACAGG
Molecule: ribosomal RNA, 253 nt
Filed under: uncultured bacterium
Lineage: Bacteria
Description: partial 16S ribosomal RNA
Rfam family: Bacterial small subunit ribosomal RNA
Source: RNAcentral